RNAcentral lists this ribosomal RNA (484 nucleotides) under uncultured bacterium. RNAcentral describes it as "partial 16S ribosomal RNA". It matches the Rfam family "Bacterial small subunit ribosomal RNA", at positions 30 to 507 of the family's 1533-position model. The record is from RNAcentral.
AUUGAACGCUGGCGGCAUGCCUUACACAUGCAAGUCGAACGGCAGCACGGACUUCGGUCUGGUGGCGAGUGGCGAACGGGUGAGUAAUGUAUCGGAACGUACCUUUCAGUGGGGGAUAACGUAGCGAAAGUUACGCUAAUACCGCAUAUUCUGUGAGCAGGAAAGCAGGGGAUCGAAAGACCUUGCGCUGAUUGAGCGGCCGAUAUCAGAUUAGCUAGUUGGUGGGGUAAAGGCCUACCAAGGCGACGAUCUGUAGCGGGUCUGAGAGGAUGAUCCGCCACACUGGAACUGAGACACGGUCCAGACUCCUACGGGAGGCAGCAGUGGGGAAUUUUGGACAAUGGGGGCAACCCUGAUCCAGCCAUGCCGCGUGAGUGAAGAAGGCCUUCGGGUUGUAAAGCUCUUUUGGCCGGGAAGAAAUCGCAUAGGCUAAUACCCUGUGUGGAUGACGGUACCGGAAUAAGAAGCACCGGCUAACUACGUG